UACGUAGGUGGCGAGCGUUGUCCGGAAUUACUGGGCGUAAAGGGAGCGUAGGUUGCGAUUUAAGUUAGAUGUGAAAGCCCGUGGCUCAACUACGGAACUGCAUUUAAAACUGGAUUGCUAGAGUACAGGAGGGGUGAGCGGAAUUCCUAGUAUAGCGGUGGAAUGCGUAGAUAUUAGGAAGAACACCGGAGGCGAAGGCGGCUCACUGGACUGCAACUGACACUGAGGCUCGAAAGCGUGGGGAGCAAACAGG
RNAcentral lists this ribosomal RNA (253 nucleotides) under uncultured bacterium. Its description in RNAcentral is "partial 16S ribosomal RNA". It matches the Rfam family "Bacterial small subunit ribosomal RNA", at positions 524 to 776 of the family's 1533-position model. The record is from RNAcentral.